Long non-coding RNA from Hordeum vulgare subsp. vulgare (domesticated barley), 1037 nucleotides. RefSeq lists it as uncharacterized. The record is from RefSeq and is a predicted model, not a curated record. The transcript is spliced from 3 exons. NCBI's taxonomy places the organism in Eukaryota, Viridiplantae, Streptophyta, Magnoliopsida, Poales, Poaceae.
UUCCACAUGUCCACGCAGCGAGAGUCCAAAUCCUAAUCCUCCUAUUCCCUUCCCCACCCCCACCCCGAAGCCACCAUCUGCUAGGGUUUCUCCUUUACCGCCGCCGCCACCUGCCCGAUCUAUAGCCACCGUAGUCCAUCCUCUUCUCCGUUCACUGGAUCGGGAUCUCCAUCGACGCUGAAACACUCUAUUCCAAGCUUCUCCUUCUACCAUUGAGCUCAAAAAAUACGCCACCGAGGGGCCUCUCCUACCACCGAGCCCUCGGCCUCCCCGAGCUGCCUCUCCCGCCAACGAGCGCAACUUCGUCGUCGACUCCCCAAGUUUCCUCUCCCGCGCGUGACUGCCGCCGCGAGAUGUCACGACACCACCACUGAAGCUAGCCCUCUACUGCUCUCCUUACCGGAGCACAUAUUCUCUACUGACGCAACACCGACGCUCUACUUCAGCCACUCUCCAUCAGAGGUAUGUGGCCUAUGAAUAUGCCAACACAGAUCUGUUGAACAAGAAGUCUGUUGUCUAGAAUUUUGGCAUGCUGCCACUGGAAAUAGUGGCUUGGAUGGAUCGUGUAGAUUGUUGUCAGCCAGUUAAUGAGGUGCAUCUGGUGGCAUGGCUCAAUAUGAUGGUGGGCGCGAGGAGAGUUAUGAGUGGUGAAGGAGUGUUUGGAAGUGUUUUGUUCUGCAGAACAUAUGUUAUCUCAGAAAGCUUUUAUAACAUACUAAUUGAUGGUUUCCUGUUGUUUUUGUGAGUUCACAAUAUCAAAGAGGCCGAGAAGAACAACACUUUCACGUGCGGCUUCGGAGCACCAUGACUGAUUGCUAGCUAAGGUUCCGCUCUUCUAAUAUGUCUCUCAUCGGAUGAACACCAUCUAGCUUUAUAUGCAUCCAGAUAGUCUCUGGCAACAUUGCGAUUUUGUUUUUGCAUUAUUUUUGGCAACUACCAGGAAAACGCCUACUGAUUAAUACUAUUGUGCGUGACACUAUUUAUCAACAACCUAAAUUGAAAUUGCAGGAAUCAUAUAAAAUCUACUCCCUCUGUCC